Molecule: long non-coding RNA, 472 nt
Organism: Megalobrama amblycephala (Wuchang bream)
Lineage: Eukaryota; Metazoa; Chordata; Actinopteri; Cypriniformes; Xenocyprididae
Exons: 2
Source: RefSeq, a predicted model, not a curated record
UGUUUCACAACAUGAUUCAUGAAUGGUGUCAAGAUACUUGAUCAUUUUCGCAUAGACAGGGACAAAUGUCAAGACAAAUGUCAAGAGUAUUUCAAACAUUUCAUUACUGAUGGCCUUGCUUUACAAAAAAACGAACAGAUUGCAGUGGCAGCAGAUGGCCAUCAGGGAGAGAUGGUGGUUGUUCUGUCUUUGAGGAUUGGCAGCUGUAGGAUUCUCUAUCUACAGGGUAUGAAACACAAAUAUAACAACAUCACUUUAUAUGGUUUAAUUUGUACUCAUUUGCUGUCUGAGCUCAGAACAACCUUCUAAAUGCACCUGAAGCCACACAAACAUCAGUAAAAUCACAUGGAUGUGGUAAACCAGCAUUUGCUAUUCAGUCAUUUCAUGAGGAAAGUCCAGCAGUUACACAUACUGUAAUCACGGAGAGCGAGAAAAAGAAUGUGUCACAAAAUAAAUAAGCAUACACAUCAAA